This 2770-nucleotide ribosomal RNA is filed under the name Burkholderia cenocepacia. Its description in RNAcentral is "partial 23S ribosomal RNA". It matches the Rfam family "Bacterial large subunit ribosomal RNA". The record is from RNAcentral. Lineage: Bacteria; Pseudomonadati; Pseudomonadota; Betaproteobacteria; Burkholderiales; Burkholderiaceae.
GGUCAAGCGAACAAGUGCAUGUGGUGGAUGCCUUGGCGAUCACAGGCGAUGAAGGACGCGGUAGCCUGCGAAAAGCUACGGGGAGCUGGCAAACGAGCUUUGAUCCGUAGAUGUCCGAAUGGGGAAACCCGGCCCUUUUGGGUCAUCCUAGACUGAAUACAUAGGUCUAGUGAAGCGAACGCGGUGAACUGAAACAUCUAAGUAACCGCAGGAAAAGAAAUCAACCGAGAUUCCCAAAGUAGUGGCGAGCGAAAUGGGAUGAGCCUUGCACUCUUUAUUUGUAUUGUUAGCCGAACGCUCUGGAAAGUGCGGCCAUAGCAGGUGAUAGCCCUGUAGGCGAAAACAGUAUGAAAGAACUAGGUGUGCGACAAGUAGGGCGGGACACGUGAAAUCCUGUCUGAAGAUGGGGGGACCAUCCUCCAAGGCUAAAUACUCGUGAUCGACCGAUAGUGAACCAGUACCGUGAGGGAAAGGCGAAAAGAACCCCGGGAGGGGAGUGAAAUAGAUCCUGAAACCGCAUGCAUACAAACAGUCGGAGCCUCGUAAGGGGUGACGGCGUACCUUUUGUAUAAUGGGUCAGCGACUUACGUUCAGUAGCAAGCUUAACCGUAUAGGGCAGGCGUAGCGAAAGCGAGUCCGAAUAGGGCGUUCAGUUGCUGGGCGUAGACCCGAAACCAGGUGAUCUAUCCAUGGCCAGGAUGAAGGUGCGGUAACACGUACUGGAGGUCCGAACCCACUAACGUUGAAAAGUUAGGGGAUGAGCUGUGGAUAGGGGUGAAAGGCUAAACAAACCUGGAAAUAGCUGGUUCUCUCCGAAAACUAUUUAGGUAGUGCCUCGUGUCUCACCUUCGGGGGUAGAGCACUGUCAUGGUUGGGGGGUCUAUUGCAGAUUACCCCGCCAUAGCAAACUCCGAAUACCGAAGAGUGCAAUCACGGGAGACAGACAUCGGGUGCUAACGUCCGGUGUCAAGAGGGAAACAACCCAGACCGCCAGCUAAGGUCCCCAAAUAUAGCUAAGUGGGAAACGAAGUGGGAAGGCUAAAACAGUCAGGAGGUUGGCUUAGAAGCAGCCACCCUUUAAAGAAAGCGUAAUAGCUCACUGAUCGAGUCGUCCUGCGCGGAAGAUGUAACGGGGCUAAGCUAUAUACCGAAGCUGCGGAUGCGAGCUUUGCUCGCAUGGUAGGAGAGCGUUCCGUAAGCCUGCGAAGGUGCCUUGUAAAGGGUGCUGGAGGUAUCGGAAGUGCGAAUGCUGACAUGAGUAGCGAUAAAGGGGGUGAAAGGCCCCCUCGCCGUAAGCCCAAGGUUUCCUACGCAACGUUCAUCGGCGUAGGGUGAGUCGGCCCCUAAGGCGAGGCAGAAAUGCGUAGCUGAUGGGAAGCAGGUCAAUAUUCCUGCACCAUUGUUAGAUGCGAUGGGGGGACGGAUCGCGGAAGGUUGUCCGGGUGUUGGAAGUCCCGGUCGCUGCAUUGGAGAAGGCGCUUAGGCAAAUCCGGGCGCGUAAUUCAAGGGUGUGGCGCGAGCUCCUUAGGGAGCGAAGCAAUUGGAAGUGGUUCCAAGAAAAGCCUCUAAGCUUCAGUCUAACGAUGACCGUACCGCAAACCGACACAGGUGGGCGAGAUGAGUAUUCUAAGGCGCUUGAGAGAACUCGGGAGAAGGAACUCGGCAAAUUGGUACCGUAACUUCGGGAUAAGGUACGCCCUUGUAGCUUGACUGGCCUGCGCCAGGAGGGUGAAGGGGUUGCAAUAAACUGGUGGCUGCGACUGUUUAAUAAAAACACAGCACUCUGCAAACACGAAAGUGGACGUAUAGGGUGUGACGCCUGCCCGGUGCCGGAAGAUUAAAUGAUGGGGUGCAAGCUCUUGAUUGAAGUCCCGGUAAACGGCGGCCGUAACUAUAACGGUCCUAAGGUAGCGAAAUUCCUUGUCGGGUAAGUUCCGACCUGCACGAAUGGCGUAACGAUGGCCACACUGUCUCCUCCCGAGACUCAGCGAAGUUGAAGUGUUUGUGAUGAUGCAAUCUACCCGCGGCUAGACGGAAAGACCCCAUGAACCUUUACUGUAGCUUUGCAUUGGACUUUGAACCGAUCUGUGUAGGAUAGGUGGGAGGCUAUGAAACCGGAACGCUAGUUUCGGUGGAGCCGUCCUUGAAAUACCACCCUGGUUUGUUUGAGGUUCUAACCUUGGCCCGUGAUCCGGGUCGGGGACAGUGCAUGGUAGGCAGUUUGACUGGGGCGGUCUCCUCCCAAAGCGUAACGGAGGAGUACGAAGGUACGCUAGGUACGGUCGGAAAUCGUGCUGAUAGUGCAAUGGCAUAAGCGUGCUUAACUGCGAGACCGACAAGUCGAGCAGGUGCGAAAGCAGGUCAUAGUGAUCCGGUGGUUCUGUAUGGAAGGGCCAUCGCUCAACGGAUAAAAGGUACUCUGGGGAUAACAGGCUGAUACCGCCCAAGAGUUCAUAUCGACGGCGGUGUUUGGCACCUCGAUGUCGGCUCAUCUCAUCCUGGGGCUGUAGCCGGUCCCAAGGGUAUGGCUGUUCGCCAUUUAAAGAGGUACGUGAGCUGGGUUUAAAACGUCGUGAGACAGUUUGGUCCCUAUCUGCCGUGGGCGUUGGAUAUUUGAAGGGGGCUGCUCCUAGUACGAGAGGACCGGAGUGGACGAACCUCUGGUGUACCGGUUGUCACGCCAGUGGCAUCGCCGGGUAGCUAUGUUCGGAAGAGAUAACCGCUGAAAGCAUCUAAGCGGGAAACUCGCCUUAAGAUGAGAUAUCCCUGG